GACGAACGCUGGCGGCGUGCCUAACACAUGCAAGUCGAACGGAACUUCUUUAAAGGAUUUCUUCGGAAUGAAUUUGAUUAAGUUUAGUGGCGGACGGGUGAGUAACGCGUGAGUAACCUGCCUCUGAGAGGGGAAUAACAUUCUGAAAAGAAUGCUAAUACCGCAUAAUAUAUAUUUAUCGCAUGGUAGAUAUAUCAAAGAUUUAUCGCUUAGAGAUGGACUCGCGUCCGAUUAGUUAGUUGGUGAGGUAACGGCUCACCAAGACCGCGAUCGGUAGCUGGACUGAGAGGUUGAACGGCCACAUUGGGACUGAGACACGGCCCAGACUCCUACGGGAGGCAGCAGUGGGGGAUAUUGCGCAAUGGGGGAAACCCUGACGCAGCAACGCCGCGUGAAGGAUGAAGGUCUUCGGAUUGUAAACUUCUUUUAUUAAGGACGAAG
RNAcentral lists this ribosomal RNA (441 nucleotides) under uncultured bacterium. Its description in RNAcentral is "bacterial SSU rRNA". It matches the Rfam family "Bacterial small subunit ribosomal RNA", at positions 28 to 450 of the family's 1533-position model. The record is from RNAcentral.